RNAcentral lists this ribosomal RNA (434 nucleotides) under Paraphidippus aurantius. Its description in RNAcentral is "partial 16S ribosomal RNA". The record is from RNAcentral. Lineage: Eukaryota; Metazoa; Arthropoda; Arachnida; Araneae; Salticidae.
CUCUAUUAGAUAUAAUUAAUAGUAAGAUCUGCUCAAUGAAUAUUUCAAUAGCCGCAAUUCGUGCUAAGGUAGCAUAAUAAUUUGUCUUUUAAAUGGGGACCAGAACAAAAGAUUUAACAUCUUAAUUAUUUUUUUUAUUUAAAAAUUUAAAUUUAUUUUAAAAGUUAAAAAACUUUUAUAGUCAAAAAAGACGACAAGACCCUAUUGAACUUAACUUAAGUUAAACUGGGGUAGUUAAUUAAUUAUUAUUUUAAUUUAUAUUAUUACAUAAAAAGCCUUACAAUUGAUAAAUCAGUUACCAUAGGGAUAACAGCGUAAUUUUAUUUUAAAGAUCUUAUUGAAAAUAAAGAUUGCGACCUCGAUGUUGAAUUAAUAACCUAUUUUUAAAGCAAAGUUUAAAACAGGAAGUCUGUUCGACUUUUAAACAAUUACAU